UCCUCCGGCGACCCCUGGUAAGCUCUCCCCCCUCCCUCCUUUCUUUCUCUCUCUUUCUUCUCUCUUCCCCGACCGGCGCUUGCACUUUUAUGUGACGUACUUUUCUCUUGGUAGUGAUUUGGGGUUAUCUUUUAGGAAUUCUUACUGCAUUUUUUGUUAGUUUUUGCUUGUUUCCUUUACAUUUUCAGAAUGAAUUAGCUUUCUUUAUGCUUAACAAUAUAAAAGUUCUGAACUUUCAACUGGGUUUUUCAUGUAUAUUGAAUAAGAUCUGUAUAUUUGGAAUUUUUCUUUGUAAUAUUCACUGUAUUUUAGCUUAAUUUAGUUGUGUUUUUCUCGGAACAAAACUUUGACCCGUUUUCUCUCUGAUUUCAUCGACUCUCACACGCUAAAAAAAUGAAUUUUCGAAAUUCAAAAGGGAUUCUCAAAUCUGAAAAUUUCAAAUAAAGAAAAUAAGAAGUUGUGGUUGAAAAAUUGUUGUUGCUCGUUGUUCAGAUCUUCCGGUCUGCUGUACAGAGUUUCAGAUCUUUGUUUGGUGUGGUUUAGUUGAUUUUCCUUACAAAUAGGUCAAUCCUAGUCCAAGGUGCUUGAACCCUAGCUUCAUUUCCCUUACUACUGGCAGGGCUACACCAAUGGUAGCGGUGACAGCCCUUUUUGGUUUUUGGAUCAGGGUAUUUGCUGUGUUUUUCAGGAAAAUUAUUAAAGUUGUUGGAGACAGGUUAGCCCACGAGCACUAGCAAAGAAGAGCAACCCGGACGAGCAUCAACAAAGUGUGGUGGGUAGCGGUAAGUUAGCGUACAACUACAUCGAGUACAACAAUUAAACACAGGUUUGGUCCUCAGGACUUGGUACCUCCCGUUCUACUGUUUCCCCUCUGGUGCUAGCUAAAUUGUUGUUACUUUAGUUCGCAAUAGUUCGAUCAUUCAACUAGUGUACUUGUAGUUACGUGUUUCCUUCUAGUUUAACUCGUUGUCCGUGGAGCACUAGCGAGUAUUCUUUAGAUUUAUCGUAGAAGUAGUAGCUGCAGUCUGGAAUGAUAGAUUAAGGGCAUGUCCGCGGGUGGGGCUGAGUGUGGGACCAGUUUCAGGGAGUGGGACGGGAGGAAGGGGAGGUAUAUGGGGCAAAAGAGUCUAUAGGUUGAGAAUCAGUUCAUAGAAUAUAGCUUCGCUUACGAGUAAGUCUAUAGAGUUGGCGAAGAUCCUUCAGAAGAGGACGAUUAAUAUAGCAUGUGUCCAAGAGACUAAUGUUGGAAAUCAUUGAUAUCAUUGAUAUGUGUUCUUUGGUUGUAUUAGCAUGAUUU
This 1297-nucleotide long non-coding RNA is filed under the name Nicotiana benthamiana. Its description in RNAcentral is "long non-coding RNA (NBEN_LNC002702)". The record is from RNAcentral. Lineage: Eukaryota; Viridiplantae; Streptophyta; Magnoliopsida; Solanales; Solanaceae.